Camelus dromedarius (Arabian camel) is the source of this 4034-nucleotide long non-coding RNA. RefSeq lists it as uncharacterized. The transcript is spliced from 4 exons. The record is from RefSeq and is a predicted model, not a curated record. Lineage: Eukaryota; Metazoa; Chordata; Mammalia; Artiodactyla; Camelidae.
UUUUCGCAGAACUGCGCUCUGGGACGGCUAAUUGUUGAGUCCUCGUCGUCGUCUUCCCCACAAGAAGAGGGCUUUGCUCAGCAAUUAAGGCAGGCUGCCUGAGAACGAGGCCUCUCCAUGUUAGAUCCGGGUUUGACCGCCCCCCUCCCCCAUGAAAGAAGCAUCGCCUGCUUUUCACUGAGCCGACGGUGAGCCGGAGCUCUGCACCCGACAGCAAGGCAGGCCCCACCCCGCUGUGUCCGGGUGUCGCAAUACCAGGAGGCGAGACCGCCGCAGGCACAGCAGGGCAUGAAGGCAAGCCUUCAGACGUCUUGUUUCUCCUCCCAGUGAACCAACAGGAGCGAAGAUCGCCUUUGGUUUGGUUCGUCCACACGGUGGCUUCGGCCCUCUCCCUUCCUUUGUGCUGCAUUUCAGCCUCACGGGGAAAAGGGAAGUAACUCGCAGAAAAAAGAGCCGGAUCGUGAGUCAGGUCCUCCUGGCGUUUAGCACAGUCUUGGACCAUAACAGGAAGUCCAUAAAGUAAGUGAGUGAAUGAAUGGACAAAGCUGACUCAACCCAGCUCUUCUCGCCCCGCAGCGCUCCGUCUCUGAGUGAGGAGGGCCCAAGAGCAGCACAAUAUUGUCCUUAACAGCCCUUUCCAGUUUCUCAUUCACCUAGUCCUUUGUGAGCUGUGGAUUUUAAAGAGCAAGGAUUACUUCCCCAAGGCCAAGUAAUUUUACUAGCAAAGUACACUAAACUUCCAAAACAAGAAAAAGAAAGAAAAGAAAAAUGCUCAAGUAAUUUUAUAAGACUGAUAGACGCUUGAGUCAAAAUCAGGAAAGAACAGUAUAAGAAACAAUAAUUAUAAGCCAAUUUCACUUUGCAUGUAGGGGGAGGCUCGAACAAAAAGGCUUGAUUUCACUUUAAAGACUGCCAAGAACGAUGCCGGAAGUCUUAAUAGCCGGCGACCUGCAUUGCAGGUCCCUGAAUCAGUAAACAAGUAACAGACAAAAUAUUUGAGAUAAAGACAAGUCAGAAGGUGGAUGCAGCUUCCCAAUUCUGGCCUCGUUUCUCAGAGAUGUACUUCCUAAGUUUUGUUUUCACAGAAGAGAGGGCAGGAUGAGAAACCCACCACAUCAAAGGAGCCCAAGUCACCAGCUGCCGUCCACGUGUGCUUCAGCAAAAGGAAAGGCGUCACAUUGUCAUUCAAGGGUCUGUCUCCCACUAUAUAAAGCAAUCCCUUGUUAUCCUACAGUGACCGCAACUUUGUGUUGUUAAUGCACUGUGUUUUUAUUGCAUUACUGGGUCCACAGUUGGCUGGACCAGAACCUAUUACGUAUAUACACAAAGCUCCUAAAAAUGUAUGUCGGCAAUUUGAAAUCUGCAGUGUAUGCUGAAAAUAAAUAAUGACCAGGUUGGCUAUAUCUUAGAAGGACAGGGAUGACAGAAUAUUAAAAGUGCUCAUAAUGUGAUGCAACACAUCAGAACAGGACAGAAAGCUUAUUUGUUCAUGGAAAACAAUGCAUGGUGUUAAAGCAACCUCAGUUUAUGAUUUUUAGUUAAAAACUUAAAUUUUAAAAUUAAAAAAUCAAAACCGGGAAAAAAAAAGAAUUUCUUGUCCAGAUAUAAUCUGUUUGCCACACAAUGAAUUUAUUCUUGUGCAAGAAAGCCCAGAGUCUUGACUGGGCUAAGUCCCCCCUUAGACCCGGAGCACCUGCUAAGCACAGCUUUUUAAGGGGACCGUACCCACACCCCAGGCCUGGUUUGAACUGGAAUGUGGUUCGUGUCUUUCUGAAACACAGUGAGCAACACGAUUGCUCCAGGGAGACCAUGGUCUCUCCAGAAGUUCCCUUCCUCUUGCCGGAACUCGUCUUCCGGUGGCUGGCAGUGGUUCAGCUCCCCCAGAGCACGAGGGCUCGAGCCUCCCUGAAUACACCUGACUCCCGCUCCCCAGGCACAUGCCCCCUUAUCCUGGUGAGUGAGGUGCCGUCAUGCUCUCCAUUUGGCACCCGAGGCCCAGAAAGUCCCCAACAGCUGAGCUGAGGCCACGCUGUCCCCUCGAUGGGCUGAGGAAACAGACAGCUAACCCAUUUAACUCCAAAGCCCCAGAGUGACAAAGCGAUGCAUCACAAUCUGUCUGACACCCUCUUGUCCACUCUGUCUGGGAAGACGCAAAGUGAAUUAGAGAAAGAGCAGGCCGCAGUAAGAAAACGCCCCCAGCCCCAGGGGAGCAGCCCAGGACAGCGUCUGCCUGGUUGACGGCUCGGAUGUGCGGGUGAGAUCAGAGCAUCCGGCCCCAGAGGCCACCCGUGUGGACGGCUGUGUCCCUGCUCCCCAGGGCUUGUCAGAAACUGUCACGGUGCCGUUACGCCUCCUUCCUUGUUUCCCUCUCCGUGCCUCUGGUUCCUCUCCAGCUCCAACCGCUGAGGCGUUCUGGGAUUUAAUAACAAAGGAAAGAGGGCUCAGACUGAGCUUCCCUCGCAUCUUGGAGCUGGACAAAAAGAUGCUCGAUGUAAUGCCCUGGGGCCAGCUGCUGCUCCAUUUCCAACAGUGGCAAUGUGGUUUGUAAAGGAAUCUCUUUUUUUUUCCUUAAAUGAGACACUCUGAUGCCCUUGCCUUCUCUACACAGCCACUUGGCCGUCCCGGAAGCCUCAGGACCUGAGCAUCCACAGUGAAUCCAUUAGAUCACCAGCUCAGGAAGGGUGUUGCCAAGGCUUAAAACGUUUUCUGUCUCUGCUACUUAGAACAAUGACUUGCACAUCCCACGCCUUCAACAGACACUUAUUGGUGGGGAUAGCCUCCCUCCCAGUCAUACUGUAAAAACCUCACUUUCCAGUGAAUGAGCCCCUCUAGGCUGGACCGUAACUGAAUCUGCUUUUAAAAAUAAAAUAGGAAGGAGCCAAGACCUGGGAGCACCCCAAAUGUCCAUCCACAGAUGACCGGAUAAAGACGUGGUAUAUACACACAAUGAAAUACUCUUCAGCCAUAAAAAAGAAUAAAAUAAUGCCAUUUGCAGCAACAUGGUUGGACCUAGAGAUGAUCAUACCAAGUGAAGCUCCGCCCAAACACCCGAGAAAAACCUUCCAUAGCAGUUAAGACACAUGGGGAAACCAUAAGGGAGGAUGAAGCUGAGUUUGAGGGCGUGGAAAUUGACAUGACCGCCUCCCUCCCAUCAAGAACAUCAAGUCCUGAGCUUUCUGGGUAGUGGAAGGCAAGUCGUUCCCAGAAAUCACAGAAUUGUGGAGCAGGUAAGAAACUUAAAAACUCAUCAGCAAAGGAAUAUCCAUGAGGCCAUGGUGAUGGAAAUAAAUGAUUGACUACGUGAAUGAAUAGCGAGAAGUGGCAAGUUUUCCUCACAGAAGAAUUACAAGCAAUAAAUGUGAAAAGGAGAGAAACAGAAAGUUACCAUUAGACACCCCAGGGAUAACACCUGCGAGGAAAAUAAAGGAAUGAAUGCUCAAGUCUGAGCGUGAAGCUUUAAGAAGAAACAGGAUAUGUGUAUAUCCUCAAAAUUUACGCCCCCAAAAUCUUUAUCAAUCACUCUGGUGCUUUGAACAUAUGUCUGCAAAUUCUCUGAUACGGCUCCCUUCAAGAGACAGAGCUAAUGUUCACUCUUCCUCUGAAUGUGAGCUGAACUGUGACAUUUCCAAAGAGCUGAAGAUUGAAAGGCAAUAAUACUAACUUGACAGUUGUGGAAACUGGCAGACACCUCCUUAACCAAAUGACCGGUUAACAUCACCAGCAAUGAGUCGUGCUGUUGUCUUGUCCCCCCUGAUAUGAUGUGAUGAGAAAAUCGCCUCCCCCAAAAUGCAUAAUCUUAGUCCUAUUGUGAGAGAAUGUGAGACAAACCCGCAUGGAGGAGCCUUCUAUGAGACACCUGACUGGCACACUUUGAAAAGACCAAAGGCAUUUAAAGAAAAAAGGAAACACUGAGAAACUGUCACAAACUGAAGGAGGUUAAGUGCCAUGUGCGAUCCGGAAUGGGACUCUGGACCCAAAAGAGGAUAUUAAUGGAAAAACUGGGGGAAUUUGAAUAAAGUCUGCAGUUUUGUUAA